UACGGAGGGUGCAAGCGUUAUCCGGAUUCACUGGGUUUAAAGGGUGCGUAGGCGGAUUGGUAAGUCCGUGGUGAAAUCCCCGAGCUUAACUUGGGAACUGCCGUGGAUACUAUCAGUCUUGAAUAUCGUGGAGGUAAGCGGAAUAUGUCAUGUAGCGGUGAAAUGCGCAGAUAUCAGGAGGAACACCGGUGGCGAAGGCGGUGCUCUGGGCCGGUACUGACGCUGAGGAGCGAAAGCGUGGGUAGCAAACAGG
Molecule: ribosomal RNA, 253 nt
Filed under: uncultured bacterium
Lineage: Bacteria
Description: partial 16S ribosomal RNA
Rfam family: Bacterial small subunit ribosomal RNA
Source: RNAcentral